GAACCGGACGAACGUUAUUCGGAAUCACUGGGCUUAAAGAGUGCGUAGGCGGCUUGGUAGGUUGGGUGUGAAAUCCCACAGCUCAACUGUGGAACUGCGCUCAAAACCCCCAAGCUUGAGGAAGGCAGAGGUGAGCGGAACUGAUGGUGGAGCGGUGAAAUGCGUUGAUAUCAUCAGGAACACCGGUGGCGAAGGCGGCUCACUGGGCCUUUUCUGACGCUGAGGCACGAAAGCUAGGGUAGCGAACAGGAUUAGAUACCCUGGUAGUCCUAGCUGUAAACGAUGAGCACUUGAUCGAGGGGACCUCCCACAUCCCCUCGGUCGUAGCGAAAGUGUUAAGUGCUCCGCCUGGGAGUAUGGUCGCAAGGCUG
This 371-nucleotide ribosomal RNA is filed under the name uncultured organism. RNAcentral describes it as "partial 16S ribosomal RNA". It matches the Rfam family "Bacterial small subunit ribosomal RNA", at positions 527 to 896 of the family's 1533-position model. The record is from RNAcentral.